Molecule: non-coding RNA, 72 nt
Organism: Heterocephalus glaber (naked mole-rat)
Lineage: Eukaryota; Metazoa; Chordata; Mammalia; Rodentia; Bathyergidae
Source: Rfam
AGGGGUGUAGUUCAGUGGUAGAGCACUUGCCUAGCAUGCAUCAGGCCUUGGGUUCAAUACCUAGCACUACAA